AGCGAACGCUGGCGGCAGGCCUAACACAUGCAAGUCGAACGAACCUUUCGGGGUUAGUGGCGGACGGGUGAGUAACACGUGGGAACGUGCCUUUAGGUUCGGAAUAACUCAGGGAAACUUGUGCUAAUACCGAAUGUGCCCUUCGGGGGAAAGAUUUAUCUCCUUUAGAGCGGCCCGCGUCUGAUUAGCUAGUUGGUUGAGGUAAUGGCUCACCAAGGCGACGAUCAGUAGCUGGUCUGAGAGGAUGAUCAGCCACAUUGGGACUGAGACACGGCCCAAACUCCUACGGGAGGCAGCAGUGGGGAAUCUUGCGCAAUGGGCGAAAGCCUGACGCAGCCAUGCCGCGUGAAUGAUGAAGGUCUUAGGAUUGUAAAAUUCUUUCACCGGGGACGAUAAUGACGGUACCCGGAGAAGAAGCCCCGGCUAACUUCGUG
RNAcentral lists this ribosomal RNA (434 nucleotides) under uncultured bacterium. Its description in RNAcentral is "partial 16S ribosomal RNA". It matches the Rfam family "Bacterial small subunit ribosomal RNA", at positions 29 to 507 of the family's 1533-position model. The record is from RNAcentral.